GCCGAAGUGGUGGAACUGGUAGACACGCUAGGUUCAGGGUCUAGUGGGGGGUCCCCCGUGCAGGUUCAAGUCCUGUCUUCGGCACCA
RNAcentral lists this transfer RNA (87 nucleotides) under Deltaproteobacteria bacterium HGW-Deltaproteobacteria-15. RNAcentral's name for it is "tRNA-Leu". It matches the Rfam family "tRNA". Rfam says of the family: Transfer RNA (tRNA) molecules are approximately 80 nucleotides in length. Their secondary structure includes four short double-helical elements and three loops (D, anti-codon, and T loops). Lineage: Bacteria; Deltaproteobacteria. The record is from RNAcentral. RNAcentral also lists the same sequence under 3 other names.